AUUGAACGCUGGCGGCAUGCUUUACACAUGCAAGUCGAACGGCAGCGCGGGCUUCGGCCUGGCGGCGAGUGGCGAACGGGUGAGUAAUACAUCGGAACGUGCCCAGUAGUGGGGGAUAGCUCGGCGAAAGCCGGAUUAAUACCGCAUACGACCUGAGGGUGAAAGCGGGGGAUCUUCGGACCUCGCGCGAUUUGAUCGGCCCAUGGCAGAUUAGCUAGUUGGUGGGGUAAAGGCCUACCAAGGCGACGAUCUGUAGCUGGUCUGAGAGGACGACCAGCCACACUGGGACUGAGACACGGCCCAGACUCCUACGGGAGGCAGCAGUGGGGAAUUUUGGACAAUGGGCGAAAGCCUGAUCCAGCAACGCCGCGUGUGUGAUGAAGGCCUUCGGGUUGUAAAGCACUUUUGGCGGGAACGAAAAGGACUGUGCCAAUACCACGGUUCGAUGACGGUACCCGCAGAAUAAGCACCGGCUAACUACGUG
RNAcentral lists this ribosomal RNA (484 nucleotides) under uncultured bacterium. RNAcentral's name for it is "partial 16S ribosomal RNA". It matches the Rfam family "Bacterial small subunit ribosomal RNA", at positions 29 to 507 of the family's 1533-position model. The record is from RNAcentral.